CCUGACUCCUUGAGAGUCCUGAAGGAACGUUGAAGACGACGACGUUGAUAGGCCGGGUGUGUAAGCGCAGCGAUGCGUUGAGCUAACCGGUACUAAUGAACCGUGAGGCUUAACCUUACAACGCCGAAGGUGUUU
Molecule: ribosomal RNA, 135 nt
Filed under: Escherichia coli
Lineage: Bacteria; Pseudomonadati; Pseudomonadota; Gammaproteobacteria; Enterobacterales; Enterobacteriaceae
Description: partial 23S ribosomal RNA
Rfam family: Bacterial large subunit ribosomal RNA (bases 1-117)
Source: RNAcentral